This 460-nucleotide ribosomal RNA is filed under the name uncultured bacterium. Its description in RNAcentral is "partial 16S ribosomal RNA". It matches the Rfam family "Bacterial small subunit ribosomal RNA", at positions 338 to 795 of the family's 1533-position model. The record is from RNAcentral.
CCUACGGGUGGCAGCAGUGAGGAAUAUUGGUCAAUGGCCGGAAGGCUGAACCAGCCAUGGCGCGUGAAGGUCAGUGCCCUAUGGGCGUUAAACUUCUUUUGUGCGGGAGCAAUAAUGGUCACGUGUGGCCAGACGAGAGUACCGUACGAAUAAGCAUCGGCUAACUCCGUGCCAGCAGCCGCGGUAAUACGGGGGAUGCAAGCGUUAUCCGGAUUUAUUGGGUUUAAAGGGUGCGUAGGCUGUGAGGUAAGUCAGCGGUGAAAUGCCCCCGCUCAACGGGGUGAAGUGCCAUUGAUACUGGCUGGCUGGAAUGCGGAUGCCGUGGGAGGAAUGUGUGGUGUAGCGGUGAAAUGCAUAGAUAUCACACAGAACACCGAUUGCGAAGGCAUCUCACGAAUCCGCGAUUGACGCUGAUGCACGAAAGCGUGGGUAUCAAACAGGAUUAGAUACCCUUGUAGUC